RNAcentral lists this ribosomal RNA (497 nucleotides) under uncultured bacterium. RNAcentral describes it as "partial 16S ribosomal RNA". It matches the Rfam family "Bacterial small subunit ribosomal RNA", at positions 28 to 507 of the family's 1533-position model. The record is from RNAcentral.
GAUGAACGCUGGCGGCGUGCCUAAUACAUGCAAGUCGAGCGAACGGACGAGAAGCUUGCUUCUCUGAUGUUAGCGGCGGACGGGUGAGUAACACGUGGAUAACCUACCUAUAAGACUGGGAUAACUUCGGGAAACCGGAGCUAAUACCGGAUGAUAUUUUGAACCGCAUGGUUCAAAAGUGAAAGACGGUCUUGCUGUCACUUAUAGAUGGAUCCGCGCUGCAUUAGCUAGUUGGUAAGGUAACGGCUUACCAAGGCAACGAUGCAUAGCCGACCUGAGAGGGUGAUCGGCCACACUGGAACGGAGACACGGUCCAGACUCCUACGGGAGGCAGCAGUAGGGAAUCGGCCGCAAUGGGCGAGAGCCUGACGGAGCAACGCCGCGUGAGUGAUGAAGGUCUUCGGAUCGUAAAACUCUGUUAUGAGGGAAGAACAUAUGUGUAGGUAACUGUGCACAUCUUGACGGUACCUAAUCAGAAAGCCACGGCUAACUACGUG